RNAcentral lists this ribosomal RNA (489 nucleotides) under uncultured bacterium. RNAcentral describes it as "partial 16S ribosomal RNA". It matches the Rfam family "Bacterial small subunit ribosomal RNA", at positions 30 to 507 of the family's 1533-position model. The record is from RNAcentral.
AUUGAACGCUGCGGCAGGCCUAACACAUGCAAGUCGAACGGUAACAGGAAACAGCUUGCUGUUUCGCUGACGAGUGGCGGACGGGUGAGUAAUGUCUGGGAAACUGCCUGAUGGAGGGGGAUAACUACUGGAAACGGUAGCUAAUACCGCAUAACGUCGCAAGACCAAAGAGGGGGACCCUCGGGCCUCUUGCCAUCGGAUGUGCCCAGAUGGGAUUAGCUUGUUGGUGGGGUAACGGCUCACCAAGGCGACGAUCCCUAGCUGGUCUGAGAGGAUGACCAGCCACACUGGAACUGAGACACGGUCCAGACUCCUACGGGAGGCAGCAGUGGGGAAUAUUGCACAAUGGGCGCAAGCCUGAUGCAGCCAUGCCGCGUGUAUGAAGAAGGCCUUCGGGUUGUAAAGUACUUUCAGCGGGGAGGAAGGGAGUAAAGUUAAUACCUUUGCUCAUUGACGUUACCCGCAGAAGAAGCACCGGCUAACUCCGUG